CCGGCGCGGUCGUCUCGGCGGCCGCGUCACGAUGGCGCGUUUCCGCUGUUCUCGACGCGGACGGUAGCUUUGCGCGCGGGUAAUCGACGCGGUCCUUCGUCCGGCGUCUCCGUACGUCGGACGGCGCUCGCGUCGACGCCGGUCAGCGACGAAUCUUCGGGCCUCUUUCCGACCCGUCUUGAAACACGGACCAAGGAGUCUAGCGUGCGCGCGAGUCGCGGGGUAUCCGAGUCGUCGUAGUCGUUUCGGCGGCGAACGCGACUCGUCACGAUACGAAACCCGUGUACGUACGUUGUGCGAAGGCGUAAUGAAAGUGAAAGGCGACGCUUCGCGCGUCGCCGGGGGAAGACGGUGUUCCGUGUACCACGUUUCGCGGUCAUACGUGUACCGCGGCCGGACACCCGCAUUCCCAGGGCGUCCCGCUCGUACGUCGGCCGUCG
RNAcentral lists this ribosomal RNA (440 nucleotides) under Parasaissetia nigra. RNAcentral describes it as "partial 28S ribosomal RNA". The record is from RNAcentral. Lineage: Eukaryota; Metazoa; Arthropoda; Insecta; Hemiptera; Coccidae.